RNAcentral lists this ribosomal RNA (253 nucleotides) under uncultured bacterium. RNAcentral describes it as "partial 16S ribosomal RNA". It matches the Rfam family "Bacterial small subunit ribosomal RNA", at positions 524 to 776 of the family's 1533-position model. The record is from RNAcentral.
UACGUAGGAUGCAAGCGUUGUUCGGAAUUACUGGGCGUAAAGAGUACGUAGGCGGUUUGAUAAGUCUGAAAUUAAAGACUGAGGCUUAACCUCAGGAAUGUAUCGGAAACUGUCAGACUAGAGGACAAUAGAGGAAGUUGGAAUUCUCAGUGUAGCGGUGAAAUGCGUAGAUAUUGGGAAGAACACCAGUGGCGAAAGCGGACUUCUGGGUUGUUACUGACGCUGAGGUACGAAAGCGUGGGGAGCAAACGGG